Non-coding RNA from Punica granatum (pomegranate), 2012 nucleotides. Lineage: Eukaryota; Viridiplantae; Streptophyta; Magnoliopsida; Myrtales; Lythraceae. The record is from RefSeq and is a predicted model, not a curated record.
CUCCACGUGGUCCUAAGACCACUGCCCUUUCCACCGCCAUUUACUUCUUUCUAUUUCCUCCUUUGUUCUGAUUUUGGGCUGGAAGAGUCGAGAGAAAACAGAGAAAACAGAGAGAGAGAAAGGGAUGAGUGGCGAGAGAGAGAGAGAGAGAGAGGCUGUGAGCUGGGGACAAAGCAAUGGAAAUCGGAAGAAGAUGGGGUACAACAGAGGAGUUGAGGACUCUGAAGGUUCAACCCAGUGAGCUAUCUUUCUAGGAGUUGUUGAUAAGCUUCUAGCUGCGCGGAAGAAACACUUUUUGAUAUCGGGGAUCAGCUCGGAGAACUAGGUAGGGACCUUAGUUAUUUGAUAGAUAUCCUUUUUGGUAUAGAAUGGAUUUGAAAAUGUUACGACCUGAAAUUUUGUUUAGUUGUAUUACUGAUAUGGGUGCGAAAAAGAAAAUUUCUCUCUUUUGAGAUGUAUAUACAUAUUGGAGCUUACCAAGUUGGUUUUAUAUUUUUGGGAAUUUUAUGGAAAGCCAGUUUUAGAUGAAUAGUUAUGUGGUAAUGGAUAUCAAGGAAAGAUAGGAAAAAUUCUGUCGAAAUUUCGGGUCGUGACAGCCUAUCACCUCCUUCAUCUGCUCACAUCCAUAAACACGGAGAGUCUGGAGGUUGAGGAGGAGCAUGAAUGAGUCAAGAGUCAAGAUUAAAGGAAGAGUGCAACUGCAAUUUCCGAUCACUGUCCAUCCACUUCCAUCACCAAUUGCAGCAGAGAGGCAGCCUUCGUCUAGCCUAUGUUCCUCGACUGUGAGUCCCGGUCCGACUGAUGAGUAGAUGUCCAAUCGAGACCUGCACUCUCUUGUGGGGGAGCCUGUCAGUGGCUGGACCGGCAAGCAUAGCCCCUCAUUACCAAGUCUGGCUCGGGAGCGAUGGUAGCAGCACCAGUGUUUAGCAUGGCCUAUGUUCAGCACCAGUGCUCAGCAAGGCUAGUUUUUCAUUACGGUCUUACAUUCUACUUUAUUUUUAUUAAAUUUCGGAUUUAUAGAAAAUAUAUAACUAUGAUAAAGCUUAAUUAAAAUCUUACUUUCUUGCUUAAUUAUGCUAAAUAAAUUCAAAUAUUACCACAUCAUUAAUUAAUAAUUAAUAAUAAUAAAAGGAUAUUAAAUAAGAAAAAAGACAGAUUAUUCUUCUGAAAAACACCGGUCGGCGUUUCUGCCUCACUCUGUGGUCUGUUUGUCGCCUCUCGAAAUCUCCUUCCGGCCAACCGCCGCUGACCCCGGCGACCACCAUCGACUCCCCCCCAGGCUUCCACCCUCUGUGCGUCAGUUGUCUUCCUCACUCUUAGGCGCUUCAACAUCAAAUUUCAAGCAAUGAUUGGUGAUCUCUGAUUCCUGGUGUGGAGAUUGGAUGUGAAUGAAAUGCUUCAGAGCUAGGCACCUGACAAUCCGCUUCUUCAGAGUGGCAGAGGAAUGGAGUUGCAGGGACUAGACAACAAGAAGAAGCAUUCCUUGAGAUCUAAACAGAAGGCGGACCUCGGCUCGGUCCUCAGGAAGUCGUGGUACCACCUUAGGCUGUCGGUGAGGCACCCCUCGAGGGUUCCCACCUGGGAUGCUAUCGUCCUCACAGCCGCCAGCCCUGAGCAAGCCCAGCUCUACAACGGGCAGCUCUCCCGAGCCAAGCGAUUGGGCCGCGUCUCACCCUCGACUGUCACCCUGGCCGUGCCCGAUCCUCAUGGCCAGCUUAUUGGUUCCGUUGCUGCCAGCGUCAAUGCCAUAUAUGCUCUCGCCCUUAUCCUUCUUUGCGCGCGCUCUCUCUCUAUUGAACGGACUCGAGGUCUACCCAAACCGCUCAGACAAAACAUGUGGGGUGCGGCUCAUUUGGCGCCCUCCCUCACUUGCCUCUGCUUAUUCUAUUGUCCAGGCAUGAUUGCACUGUCAUGGUUAUAUCAACAUUCUCUCCCCUCCUCACAGACAAAUGCAGCAUGUAAUUCGCAAGCUUUGCUCUUUUUGUCGUUAACUUCGAUUUAAUUCGUCACAA